Long non-coding RNA from Oryzias melastigma (Indian medaka), 795 nucleotides. RefSeq lists it as uncharacterized. The transcript is spliced from 2 exons. The record is from RefSeq and is a predicted model, not a curated record. NCBI's taxonomy places the organism in Eukaryota, Metazoa, Chordata, Actinopteri, Beloniformes, Adrianichthyidae.
GGCUUUAGUUGUGAAAAUAGCAUUUGUUUUAGGUAAACCCUGCUUUGCUUUUCGUUUGGGAUAAACUGUCAGAGUGAGACGCCUGUCAUUCCAGUUAAGUUUCGUUUUUAAAUUUAAGUUAGAGUGAGUGCUCUCACCGUGUUGUCUUUUGUUUAAUCGAGCACAUUUUCACCGGAGAUGCGGCCAUGUUCAUGCUGAGUCAGCUCUGUGUGCGCGAGUGUUGUGAUUCUUCCGUCUUUUUACAAAUAAUCAUACAAGUUAUUAUCAAGAGGAAGAGAAAUUAAAGAAGCAACUUUUAAUUCAUCUUGGCAGUGCUUGUAUUUGUUCGCUGGCUGUCUAGCAGCAUAAAGUCACGUGCAGUGAGGACAGCACACUAUUUAUUUUCUUUAUUUCAGAAACACAUCAGAAUAUUUAUUAACUAACUCUUAAAAAAAUAUGAUUUUUUAAAAUGAAAGUUCAAGUAAGGUUUCCUUUUUUCUCGUUGCUUUAACACACAUCAGGAAAAGGUGACAUAUAUUCUUUGAAACACUUAAAUUAUUUUUGAUUAAAAAAAAUGUUUAUGAAGAGGAAAUCUUUCAAAACAUAACUAAUGAUGGGAAAAAUGCUUUUAGCUUUUAGCUCCUCUUCAUUUAAAAAAAGGCGGUUUAAAAAAAUGAGAAGAAGAUACCAUGAUUUGUCUUUUUUGCCACAGUGUAGGAACCAGUAAUGUAUUUUUUGGAUGUCUAUAGAAAUAAGUCUUAAUUUUUUGCAUCAAAAGGACAAAAUAAUGAUUAAAAAUAAAAAAUAAACUAAAAA